This 7550-nucleotide long non-coding RNA is filed under the name Lactuca sativa (garden lettuce). RNAcentral's name for it is "long non-coding RNA (LSAT_LNC004187)". The record is from RNAcentral. Lineage: Eukaryota; Viridiplantae; Streptophyta; Magnoliopsida; Asterales; Asteraceae.
ACGGAUAUAGGCUUGUAGAUAUGAAAUAAUGUAGUAAAGCUUAUAUUGUACUGUUUAUGCUUUUGAUAUGUACGAACAUAACAUCCCAAGUCUUAUAAUGAAUUACAUUUCUAUGGAAAUUCUUUUGAUAAAUCUUUAUCAUAUUUUGUUUUGAGACAAAUUCUGCAACACUUUUCAAACAAAGCAUAAACAAAAUCAGUCUUUUCUGGCCGUGAAAAUGAGGAUGUCACAGUUGGUAUCAGAGCAUUAGUUUAAGCGAACUAGGAAUUUGUAGGAUUUCUAGACUUAAACUUAGAAUGCUAAGCGAUGAUUGUGAGGUGUGAGCACUAGCUUAUUUUACGAAUUGUGCCUAAAAUGCUUUUAUGUGUUAAAUGAUUUGUGCAUGACAUGCCGUUAUUUGUUCGGAUCUAUGGUCUGUUGCCGACCGGAUCUAGAAACCUUAUGUAUUUAGGAUUCUAAACAUACGACUACGAUAUUAGAACUAGCAUGUAAACGUUUCAGAGUGAUAAGAAUGAUUUAAACGUCUAUCCUAAAUAAAGAUCUAAAUUCACCUUAUUCGGUGUAUAGAUCAAGAUGGCAAGGACCCGUAGCGGAAACAUGAAUGCAAAUGGGAACCGAGCUCAGCCCCCAGUGAUUGAGCAAAUACCGGUUAUGGAAGCCGCUGCUGAGCCAAUAACGAUGGCCGCAGUACAAGCGAUGAUCCAGGCGAUGUUGGAUCGUCAAAUGGAGGAAACCAGACGUUUGCACCAGCAAAAUCGAGAGGAACCGACUAUUCAGAUCGAACAUCCCGAGUUGAACGAAGGGCAAACUGAGGAAGGAAACUAAAGUGGGACUGUUGGUCAAGCCAACCCACCGAUAGUUAGGCAAAACCACCAGGAUGGAGGAAAUGACAGACGUGGAUGCAAAUACAAGGAUUUCAUGGCAUCCAAGCCACCGAGUCUAUCUGGAAGCCCGACACCGGUGGAAGUCAUGAACUGGAUCUCUGAAAUGGAGACGAUGUUUGAGAGUUGCGAGUGUAGCAACAGGUAGAAGACCGCUCUCGCGAUUCCUCUGUUGAAAUCUCGAGUACUAAGUUGGUGGAAGCUACUAGCUGAUUCAAUGCCCAAAGGUGAAGCAAGCAAGAUGUCGUGGGAGGAUUUUCUGGUAUAGUUGAAGAUGCAAUACUGCUCUGAGCAGGAUCUUCUGGAGAUUAACAACGAAUUCCAGAAUCUGAUGAAGGGAAGAAUGACCGUUACUGAAUAUGCUGCAAGCUUUACUGAGAAAAUGAAGCUUGUUCCUCACCUCGUUCCAACUAAACUCUCCAAGGUUAACAAAUUUGCCAUCGGAUUACCAGCGGACUUCGGUCCAAUGGUCAAGCAAACUAACACUCUGAAAGCCGCCAUCUAGGCUGCUAAGAAUGUGGAGACACAGAUACGAGAGAAGGGUCUGGACAGAGUGGAGGUGGGAGAGAAAAGGAAAUCUGACGGAUCCUCAAGGUCCGGUAAGAAGGGUAGAUUCUCGAAGUCUGGUUCGAGAGGAGGAGGAUCAGAAGCGAAGUGGUGUGACAAGUGUAAGAAAAAGCACUCUGGGAAGUGUGAUGGAGGGGUCACUUGUUUCAAAUGCGGAGAGCCUAGGCACUAUCCCAACACAUGCACGUUCACUAAGAAGGUUUGUUAUGAGUGCAACGAGGAGGUGCACAUUUCAAAGGAUUGUCGAAGCAAAACGAGGCAGGGAGACCCAACAUACCACCAAAGCCGAAGGCGAGAGCCUUCCAGAUGACGCUUGAGGUUGCGAAGGAGGCAGCAGACAUCGCUUCAGGUACCUUUCUUGUAAAUGGUUUGCCUGCGAAUAUACCAUUUGAUUCCGGAGCCAACCACUCCUUUGUGUCGCAUAAAUUUGGUGGGAAAUUAGCAUUGCCUGUAGAAAAACUAGAUAAUACCCUGAUUGUAGAAGUUGCCAGUGGCAAAUUCGUACCUGUUAGUAAUCGUAUUAGGAACAUCGUCAUUGACCUAAAUGGAAACGAAUUCCACGAAGAGCUAUUACCAUAGAGUUAAACGGUUUCCACAUCGUUUUGGGUAUGGAUUGGCUUAGCGCCAACGAUGUUGAGAUUCAAUGCCGAAAGAAGAUAGUAAGGGUGAACCCACCCGGAAAAGAAUCAUUUAUGGUGUACGGGGACAAGCGCAGAGUGAAUUCUGGAAUCAUAUCCCUGAUGAAAGCCAUGAAAUUUUUGUCCAAAGGAUGUGCAUCGUACUUGGCAUUCGUAAUCGAUGCUAAGAAGGAGAAGAAAGUGGUGCAGAAUAUAACGGUUGUGUGUGAUUAUCCGAAAGUCUUUCCCGAACAUCUUUCCAGAUUACCACCUGAUAGGCAAGUGGAAUUUCAUAUAGAAUUGUUACCAGGAACAACACCGAUAGCAAAGAAACCUUACCGAUUAGCACCGAUGGAAAUGAAGGAGCUUAUGACGCAACUUCAGGAGCUGUUGGACAACGGGUUCAUUCGACCUAGUUCAUCACCUUGGGGAGCUCCGGUGUUAUUCGUGAAGGAAAAGGACGGAAGUAUGAGAAUGUGUAUAGACUACCGAGAGCUGAAUAAGGCAACGGUAAAGAAAAAUUAUCCAUUGCCGAGGAUUGAUAACCUAUUCGAUCAGCUGCAAGGUUUGAGCUACUUCUCAAAGAUCAAUCUUAGGUCAAGAUGUCAUCAGCUGAAGGUGAGAGAGCAGGAUAUUGAGAAGACUGCAUUCAGGACAAGAUAUGGACACUAUGAGAGCUUGGUUAUGUCAUUUGGACUAACCAAUGGUCCUGCAGCAUUCAUGGAUUUGAUGAACAGGGUUUGUAAACUAUUCCUCGAUAAAUCCAUGAUAGUGUUCAUCGACGACAUUCUCAUCUACUCGAAAAGCGAAGAGGAGCAUGGCAAGCAUCUACAGGAAGUAUUAGAAGUCUUAAAGAAGCAGAAGCUUUUUUCAAAAUUCUCCAAGUGUGAUUUUUGGAUCCGAGAAGUUCAAUUCUUGGAUCAUGUUGUUAACCAGGAGGGACUAAUGGUAGACCCCGAAAAGAUCGAGGCUGUGAAUAAAUGGGAACGUCCGAAAUGUCCCACGGAUAUUCGAAGCAUUCUAGGAAUAGCCGGAUAUUAUCGAUGAUUUAUCCAAGGCUUUUCUUCAAUAGCUGCUUCGUUAACAGCUUUGACCCAUAAAGGAGCUACGUAUAUGUGGAGUGAAAAACACAAUGAGGCAUUCGAGAAGCUAAAGAAUAAGUUAUGUGAAGCACCGAUACUUUCUCUACCCCAUGGAGUUGAAGAUUUCACGGUUUAUUGUGACGCUUCUAGAGUCGGUUUGGGUUUUGUUCUGACCCAAAGAGAAAAGGUGAUAGUAUACGCAUCUCGACAAUUGAAAGAGCACGAAAAGAACUACCCCACUCAUGAUUUGGAGUUGGCUGCGGUAGUUUUUGCUCUAAAGAUAUGGAGGCAUUACCUCUACGGAACGAAGUGCAAGUUGUUCACUAAUCAUAAGAGUCUCUAGUAUCUCUUUAAUCAGAAAGAAUUGAACAUGAGGCAACGACGCUGGCUAGAACUACUCAAGGACUACGACUGUGAGAUACUUUACCACCCAGGUAAAGCAAAUGUUGUUGCUGAUGCUCUCAGUUGGAAAGUCAAUCUUGAAAGGAAAAGAACAAGGGCAUUGAGAAUUGAAGUCGUCUUGACGAUUGUAGAAAGUAUCAAAAAAGCUUAGGAAGAAGCUUUAGAGAAGAAUGACUGAAAGGAAGAACGUUUGGGAAGAAUGUUAGUGUUUGGUACAAACAGUCGAGGACUGAAAGUAUUCCAAGAUCGAAUUUGGGUACCUAAGACGGGAGGAAUAAGAGACCUUCUGAUGGAAGAAGCACAUAAACCAUGUACUCAAUUCAUCCCGGUAGCACUAAAAUGUAUAGGGACCUAAAACCCUACUACUGGUGGCCGAUGAUGAAGCUCGAUGUUGCGAAGUAUGUGGCAGAGUGCGUAACAUGUGCAAGGGUUAAGGCACAACAUAAAAAACCCUAUGGGAGUUUAGAACCUUUACCUGUACCCAUGGGUAAAUAGGAAGACAUCACCAUGGAUUUUGUGACUGAACUGCCCAGGACGAAGAGCAGACAUGACAUGAAUUGGGUAGUAGUGGAUCGUUUCACCAAGAGUGCACACUUCAUAGCAGCCAACGAGAAGUGGUCUAUGGAUAGGCUCGCAAAUGCUUACAUGAAGGAAAUUGUAAGACUUUACGGUGUCCCUCUUACGAUUGUAUUAGAUCGUGAUAGUCGUUUCACGUCGAGGUUUUGGAGGAGUCUACAAGAGGAGUUGGGUAUGAAAUUACGUUUGAGUACGGCUUACCAUCCGCAAACUGAUGGUCAGAGCGAAAGAACGAUUCAGACAUUGGAAGAUAUGCUGAGAGCAUGUACCCUCGAGUUCCAAGGGAAGUGGGACGAGCACGUAGCUCUGGUAGAAUUUUCCUACAACAACAGUUUCCACUCGAGCAUCAAGAUGGCACCUUAUCAAGCCUUGUAUGGACAGAAGUGUCGUACGCCGUCCUGUUGGCUUGAAGUUGGAGAGAAGCAGUUUAUGGGCGCCGAGAUAGUCCAUGAGACUACUGAGUAGUUCAAAGUGAUUAGGGAAAGGAUGUUAGCAGCCCAGGAUCGUCAGAAGAGCUAUGCUGACAAGAAAAGACGACCGAUAACCUUGGAAGUUGGGGAUUCGAUUUUGCUAAAAGUCUCACCAUGGAAGGGACUUAUACGAUUUGGGAAACAAGGAAAAUUUACUCCAAGGUUUAUUGGAUCGUUCAAAGUUCUUCAAAAGAUUGGGAACCAAGCAUACAAGCUGGAAUUGCCCGAAGAACUCAAUGGUAUUCAUAACACCUUCCAUGUGUGUUAUUUGAUGAAAUUCGCGGGAGAUGUUCCUGACAUAAUUCCAAUCUCAGAGUUAAGGAUGGAUGAAAAUAAAAGGUUGAUCGAAGAGCCUGAGGCAAUUGUUGACCGUAAGACUAAGAAGUUACGACGCAAGAUGGUCGACUUAGUGCUAGUCCGAUGGAAACAUUCGAAUGGGCCGAAUCUCACUUGGGAAAUAGAGGAUGACAUGAUGAGUCGCUAUCCACAUCUGUUUGUUGAUGCAUGAUUCCGGGACGGAAUCAUCCUAAGGGGGAGAGAAUUGUAACGCUCGAGUUUCAGGGCUAAGCAUAUUUAUCAAUGUAAUAGUCUAGGUCUACUAUUGUAACUCGUUUUGAAGUAUUAAAGAUGAAAUAUUUGAGUAUUAUGUGAAUUAUGUGUGUUAUUGUGCUUAUUAUUUAAUUAUAAAUGUAUAAUUAAUAAAGAAUAAAAAUAAGAGUUAAAAUUAAAGUGUGAGAUAAACCUGAUAUCUCUACGUAAAGUUGUAGUGGUCGAAACAACGAUUCCUGGGAUAUAAGGAACGCCGAAAUCCGAGUUAUAACGAAGAAGUUAUGACCCGUCGAAGUUUCGCGACAGAACCGGCACGAUACCGAGAAGCGUAAAUAGUGAAUUUACGAUAGAACGAGAUUUAGCCUUACCGCUCUAAACGAAAGUCGUAGAAUAUGUUAAACGAAGAACAUUGAUAAAAAGAAUGCCAUAAUCUGACUUUGUAUGAGGAAGUUAUGAUUUUUCUAAGAUUUAGCAUAGUAGUGCACAGCCCGAAAUCUAAAUUUUAGAUCGGUCGAUUUUUAGCCGACGAGAUCUAAAUGAAAGUUGUAGUACUCGUAAAUACCAACGCGUAGAUAAAAAGAAUGUCGAUAAUAGAGCUUGUAUGCGAAAGAUAUGGACGAAGCUUAGUCCAUACUUUUAGAGCGCGGCGAAUUCGAUACAGUUUUGUAAAUCCGAGAUAGAAUGAGAAUUAGCUAUUGAGGUCUAAAUGAAAGUUGAAGAUCUUAUUAAUAGGAACUGAACGUUAAAAAGACAGAUGAAAAUGCAGCUCGUAUACAAAAGUUACGGACGAAGCUGGGAGACUACUUUACUAUACACUUCCUAUAAAUAAGAGAUGAACUCUUCAUUAUUUCCUCACACCUUCCAACCUUUCUUUCUCUCUCUAACCUCCCUAACCCCCCCCCAAGUCUAGGGAACCUCCCUAUCACGAGAAGAAAGCCCCGGAGCGCCCGACGGCUCCGAGAAGAAAAGCUUUCGGCUCGGAAACGUUGCUCCAGCGAAGCCCGGUUUUUUAAUAAAAACCCGGUGUAAGUGAGUUACGCCUAUCUUAUAUUUAAUAUAGCUUCUAUUUAAUUAUAGUAACAUGAUUAGGAACUUAAAAUAAUUGUUUGGGCUAUUAUUAUCAGUUAUAUUGAGUGUUAUUUAACGCUUAUAUAAUAGUUAUAAUAGCUAGACUAUUAAUUAGUCGCGAUUAACCUUAAAAGUAAACUCUAGUGGUAUUAAUACUAGGUUUUGGUCAAGGAAAAAUUGUUUUAAGAAGUAACGAAGAGCUGUCCGAGUGCCGAGUCACCACCUUACCAGGUGAGGGCAUAGUUACUUUCAACUUACACAUAGAUAUGAAGUAUUUUAUACGAAUUGCGUGCUAUGUGUGCAUAUUACUUGAAUACUUGCUAUCUAUGCUGCAUGAACAUUAUUAUACAUGUUUUCAAUGACCCAAACUGUAUAUGUAUUUUAUAUCUACGAAAAUGUUGGGGUAAAACAUGGGUAGAUGUAAUAGGUGAUGUCUAAUAAAAUGAUGAGAGGCCUCGAUGUUGAUGUUGUUGAUUCUGUCAUCUAGCGGAGUAUGGAUGACGACCACAGACUCUUCUAGACAGUCCAGUAGAACACUAGCAGGCUCGCAACCUGCAGGUGUUUGUGAACGAUAUGUUCACCGAUGUACUCCAUCCCCCACAUUGUUGCCUUUAGGACAUUUAUUUUUAAGGAAUCCCCUUAGCAGUAGUGUCCAUCACGAUGAUGAUCCUUAGACUAGGUCCCUUAUGAUAGGUGUUUAGGGACGUAAAGUAAGGAUGACGGGAACGGGUAAUCAGGUGAUUGUUGAUUGAUGAUAUUAAUAAACUUAUUUAUUGUGGGUUGGAAACCCUAUGUGCUCACAAGGCUCCCAAGCCCGACCCACUCAGUUUUAUGUAUUACAGGUAGUGGCGCUUGAGCAUAGAUAUGAUGUUUGGACGAGGGAUUACGGAUAUAGGCCUGUAGAUAUGAAAUAAUGUAGUAAGGCUUAUAUUGUACUGUUUAUGCUUUUGAUCUGUACGAACAUGACAUCCCAAGUCUUUUAAUGAAAUACAUUUCUAUGGAAAUGCUUUUGAUAAAUCUUUAUCAUAUUUUGUUUUGGGACAAAUUCCGCAACACUUUUAUUUAAAAUGUUACUCUGAUUUUCAAACAAAGCAUAAACAAAAUCGGUCUUUUCUGGCCAUGAAAAUGGGGAUGUCACAGUUGGUAUCAGAGCAUUAGUUUAAGUGAACUAGGAAUUUAUAGGAUUUCUAGACUUAAACUUAGAAUGCUAAGCGAUGAUUAUGAGGUGUGAGCACUAGCUUAUUUUAGGAAUUGUGCCUAAAAUGCUUUUAUGUGCUAAAUGCUUUAUGCAUGAUAUGUUGUUAUUUGUUCGGAUCUAUGGUCUGUUGUCGACCGGAU